GAUGAACGCUGGCGGCGUGCCUAAUACAUGCAAGUCGAGCGAACGGACGAGAAGCUUGCUUCUCUGAUGUUAGCGGCGGACGGGUGAGUAACACGUGGAUAACCUACCUAUAAGACUGGGAUAACUUCGGGAAACCGGAGCUAAUACCGGAUAAUAUUUUGAACCGCAUGGUUCAAAAGUGAAAGACGGUCUUGCUGUCACUUAUAGAUGGAUCCGCGCUGCAUUAGCUAGUUGGUAAGGUAACGGCUUACCAAGGCAACGAUGCAUAGCCGACCUGGGAGGGUGGAGGCCCACAGAGAAACUGACACCCGACCCAGGACCCGAGGGGGGGCACAGGUGGGGAAUGUUCCCAACAGGGGGGAACCUUGAGGAAGGACCGCGGGGUGGAUGAAGAAGGGCUUCGGGUGGUAAAACGUUUUUUUGGGGGAAAAACAAUUGUGAAAGUAACGAUGCCCAAGUGACGGGAACUAAUAAAGAAGCCCCGGCUAACUACGGG
This 496-nucleotide ribosomal RNA is filed under the name uncultured bacterium. Its description in RNAcentral is "partial 16S ribosomal RNA". It matches the Rfam family "Bacterial small subunit ribosomal RNA", at positions 28 to 507 of the family's 1533-position model. The record is from RNAcentral.